Molecule: small nuclear RNA, 312 nt
Filed under: Carlito syrichta (Philippine tarsier)
Lineage: Eukaryota; Metazoa; Chordata; Mammalia; Primates; Tarsiidae
Description: 7SK RNA (ENSTSYG00000034798.1)
Rfam family: 7SK RNA
About the family: 7SK was discovered as an abundant small nuclear RNA in the mid-70s but a possible function has only recently been suggested.
Source: Rfam by way of RNAcentral
GGAUGUGAAGGCAAUCUGGCCGCCCCAUCUGUCACCCCCUUCAUCGCCAGGGUUGACUCGGCUGACCUGGCUGGCUAGGCGGGUGUCCCUGCCUUCUUCACCGCUCCAGGCGUGUCCCUCCCACAGCUGCGUGCCUGGCUGAAGAGGAUGGCCAUUCCUGCUAGAGGAGGACCGCUCUUCGGUCACGGGUAUGAGUAGCUGUGCUCCCCCUCAGAACCUCCAAACAAGCUCUCAGGAUCCAGUACUGAAACUAUGUGAUACAAAAUGAAAAAUCGUAUUUUAUGUGUUUGAGGAAGUGAGACCACUUUGAAA